RNAcentral lists this ribosomal RNA (474 nucleotides) under uncultured bacterium. RNAcentral's name for it is "partial 16S ribosomal RNA". It matches the Rfam family "Bacterial small subunit ribosomal RNA", at positions 28 to 507 of the family's 1533-position model. The record is from RNAcentral.
GAUGAACGCUAGCGGCAGGCCUAACACAUGCAAGUCGAGGGAGGAGCUUUCGGGCUUCGACCGGCGUACGGGUGCGUAACGCGUAUACAAUCUGCCUUUCACAUAGGGAUAGCCCGAAGAAAUUUGGAUUAAUACCUAAUGGUAUAUAGAGGUGGCAUCACCUUUAUAUUAAAGCUGAGGCGGUGAAAGGUGAGUAUGCGUUCUAUUAGCUAGUUGGAGAGGUAACGGCUCCCCAAGGCGACGAUAGAUAGGGGUUCUGAGAGGGAUAUCCCCCACACUGGUACUGAGAUACGGACCAGACUCCUACGGGAGGCAGCAGUGAGGAAUAUUGGACAAUGGUCGGAAGACUGAUCCAGCCAUGCCGCGUGCAGGAAGACGGCCUUAUGGGUUGUAAACUGCUUUUGCAGGGGAAGAAUAAGGACUACGCGUAGUUUGAUGACGGUACUCUGCGAAUAAGCAUCGGCUAACUCCGUG